Arachis ipaensis is the source of this 408-nucleotide non-coding RNA. Lineage: Eukaryota; Viridiplantae; Streptophyta; Magnoliopsida; Fabales; Fabaceae. The record is from RefSeq and is a predicted model, not a curated record.
GUCUUUCUUUUCGCAUACAUUUUCUUCUUUAUUCUAAUUUCAGCAAAACAUUAAAGUACAAUACAAAGAAAAAAAAAGAAAGAAAAACUAUAUAUAUCCCACCAUAGCUGAACUUGAUUUAUAAUUUUUUCUGCCACGGCAGGAAGUAAUAGAUAUAUAAUUUGGUCUAAGUGAAUUUACACCCUAGAAGAUGCUUGCAGGGAUUCUUUCUUCCACUUCACCAAACGUUGAAGAAACUAGAGGAGACGUCAUCGGAGGAGAUUACCAUGGGAAAGGAGAUGUCGUCGAAGGAGGUCGUUGUCAAAGGAGAUGUCACCGAAAAAGAUUGUCGUCGAAAAAUGAAAGAGGAUCCGAGAUCGUCGCUCUGGCCAGGGAUAGCGUCUAUAGGGAAACAACUUUGACAAUGGA